CCCUUGACCGAGUCUGACGCUUGUGCGGUGCGAGAACACGAAGAGCUCCAUUAGUCUCAUAGCUUCAGUGCAAAACUAAAGAAGCGAACUUCACACACUUAAGCGAUUCACUACACGGUGCACAUUUCAUUUAUUCUUUAAUAACCAAAAAAAACGAAAAACUCAUUAAUGACAAUACAGGUUUGUAAUGUUUAAUCACUUUAAUAUUAAUAUUACGGAAUCCACACGUUCAUGAUUACACUACUUACAUGGUGCUAAUGUUUAGUAUUUAUAAAUGUCUCAAUACUACAUACUGCACACACUGAUUUAUGUCACGCUUCUCCAUCAACAUACACGUUUCUCUCUUAACCCUGGAUUUUUAAUAACGUUAAAUCAUUUGCAGACAAAUACAACAACAAUGUACGAUCUGCUGACCAGCUACGAGACACGCUGAGGAAUUAAUAAGCAAAUAAAAGGUUUAAGAAUAAAAGAGUCUGUUGUGAAUCCGUCUUCAUAUCAGCUCCAAAACACACUGAGGACUCGACUCAAGCCCAGAACUGUAGGAGAGAGAGAGAGAGUAGGUAACCAGGUUAUGAUGGGAUGUAUCCCGUGACAAGACUAAAACAAGCCUCAGCGCGUCACUGAUCCACCGCCGGAUUGAACACUGGGUUUGGGGGAUGUUUCCGUGUACUCGGCUUCUUUAAUCGACAAAUAUGCUGACGGCCAAAAAAGAUUGAACACAAAACCACCAAAAGAUGACUGAUCGUAUCUCUAAUUUAUGUAGAACAUGUGGGGAUUUUCAGGCUGUGUAUUGUGGAACAUGUCUUGUGGAAAGUCCUGCCUGGGUUCAUAGGAAUGACUGGUUCCUCACCCGUAGUGUGUUGUCCCAUGAUGCUGAGCAGAACGCGGUAC
This is a long non-coding RNA of Ictalurus furcatus (blue catfish), 891 nucleotides long. RefSeq lists it as uncharacterized. The record is from RefSeq and is a predicted model, not a curated record. The transcript is spliced from 3 exons. NCBI's taxonomy places the organism in Eukaryota, Metazoa, Chordata, Actinopteri, Siluriformes, Ictaluridae.